RNAcentral lists this ribosomal RNA (516 nucleotides) under Neolepolepis occidentalis. RNAcentral's name for it is "partial 16S ribosomal RNA". The stretch from base 385 to 516 matches the Rfam family "Bacterial large subunit ribosomal RNA", at positions 2473 to 2605 of the family's 2925-position model. Lineage: Eukaryota; Metazoa; Arthropoda; Insecta; Psocodea; Lepidopsocidae. The record is from RNAcentral.
UGUUUUUUUGAAUAAAAAUUUAAAAUUUAAUCUGCUCACUGAAUUUUAAAGAGCCGCAGUAUUUUGACUGUGCAAAGGUAGCAUAAUAAAUAGCUUUUUAAUUGGAAGCUGGAAUGAAUGAUUGGAUGAAAAAUUAACUUUCUUAAAUUUAAUAUUAAAAUUUAAUUUUUUAGUUAAAAAGCUAAAAUUUUUUUAAAAGACGAGAAGACCCUAUAGAUUUUUAUUUUAUUUUUUUAAAAGUUUUGUUUUUUAUGAAUAUUUUAAUUUAAAUUUAAAUUUUGUUGGGGUGACAUAAAAAUAUUAAUAACUUUUUAAUUUUUUUUUGAUUAUUUAUAAAUAAUUUUUUGAUCUUUUAUUUUGAUUAUUAGAUUAAAUUACCUUAGGGAUAACAGCGUAAUUUUAUUGGAGAGUUCAUAUUAAAAAUAAAGUUUGCGACCUCGAUGUUGAAUUAAGAAAAUUAAUGGAUGAAGAAGGUCAUAAAAUUAGUCUGUUCGACUAUUAAAUUCUUACGUGAUC